CUACGGGCGGCUGCAGCAAGGAAUAUUGUACAAUGGGGGAAACCCUGAUACAGCAACGCCGCGUGAAGGAAGAAGGCCUUCGGGUUGUAAACUUCUGUUUUAGAGGACGAAUAAAGUGACGGUACUCUUAGAGGAAGCCCCGGCAAACUACGUGCCAGCAGCCGCGGUAACACGUAGGGGGCAAGCGUUGUCCGGAAUCACUGGGCGUAAAGGGCGCGUAGGCGGUUUAUUAAGUUGCAUGUGAAAUCCCAGGGCUCAACUCUGGACCUGCAUGCAAAACUGGUAGACUUGAGUAUGGUAGAGGCAAGUGGAAUUCCUAGUGUAGCGGUGGAAUGCGUAGAUAUUAGGAGGAACACCAGUGGCGAAGGCGACUUGCUGGGCCAAAACUGACGCUGAGGCGCGAAAGCGUGGGGAGCAAACAGGAUUAGAUACCCCAGUAGUC
Molecule: ribosomal RNA, 442 nt
Filed under: uncultured bacterium
Lineage: Bacteria
Description: partial 16S ribosomal RNA
Rfam family: Bacterial small subunit ribosomal RNA
Source: RNAcentral